GUUAAAGCCUCUUAGUUCUUCGUAUUUUUGCAGACUGUAUAACGUGAACAGCGCUGACUUGAGUAUCUCUUACCUGUAAGUGAAUCGCUGAGGUAUAUCUUGUAUCUUAAAGAAUUACACAGCUGCACACCUACAAACUUCUUAUACCAGGUCCUUUUCACAUAUUGUUUCCCUUUGCAUUCUGAGUAUGUGUCAGAAUUGAAUGGGAUUUCAGUCCAGAUAGCAUCCUUUCCCAUUGAAAUAGGCUCGCUCACUCUUGGGUCCGCUGAUUCAGUACUGAAAGCCACAACAUUGCUACUUGGACCUUCACCAAGGGGGUUUCUAGGUUUCACAUGGAAUUCAUAACUUGUGUCAGGUUUUAGGUUUUCCACAGUAGAAUGGGUUUGAUUUGUAGUGAUAAUCGACUUCUCCUUUUCACCAUC
This 422-nucleotide long non-coding RNA is filed under the name Gallus gallus (chicken). Lineage: Eukaryota; Metazoa; Chordata; Aves; Galliformes; Phasianidae. The record is from RNAcentral.